RNAcentral lists this ribosomal RNA (253 nucleotides) under uncultured bacterium. RNAcentral describes it as "partial 16S ribosomal RNA". It matches the Rfam family "Bacterial small subunit ribosomal RNA", at positions 524 to 776 of the family's 1533-position model. The record is from RNAcentral.
UACAUGUGGGGCAAGCGUUGUUCGGAAUUACUGGGCGUAAAGGGCGCGUAGGCGGCCUCUUAAGUCGAACGUGAAAUCCCCGGGCUCAACCCGGGAACUGCGUCCGAUACUGGGAGGCUUGAAUCCGGGAGAGGGAUGUGGAAUUCCAGGUGUAGCGGUGAAAUGCGUAGAUAUCUGGAGGAACACCGGUGGCGAAGGCGGCAUCCUGGACCGGUAUUGACGCUGAGGCGCGAAAGCCAGGGGAGCAAACGGG